RNAcentral lists this ribosomal RNA (373 nucleotides) under uncultured organism. RNAcentral describes it as "partial 16S ribosomal RNA". It matches the Rfam family "Bacterial small subunit ribosomal RNA", at positions 527 to 896 of the family's 1533-position model. The record is from RNAcentral.
GUAGGUGGCAAGCGUUGUCCGGAAUUAUUGGGCGUAAAGCGCGCGCAGGCGGUCCCUUAAGUCUGAUGUGAAAGCCCACGGCUCAACCGUGGAGGGUCAUUGGAAACUGGGGGACUUGAGUACAGAAGAGGAAAGCGGAAUUCCAAGUGUAGCGGUGAAAUGCGUAGAGAUUUGGAGGAACACCAGUGGCGAAGGCGGCUUUCUGGUCUGUAACUGACGCUGAGGCGCGAAAGCGUGGGGAGCAAACAGGGAUUAGAUACCCUGGUAGUCCACGCCGUAAACGAUGAGUGCUAAGUGUUAGGGGGGUUUCCGCCCCCUUAGUGCUGCAGCUAACGCAUUAAGCACUCCGCCUGGGGAUACGGCCGCAAGGCUG